CGGGCUCGAGCUCGAGCUCGAGCUCCCCUCGGCGCCGCCGCUUCCUGCUCCACCUCGCACCUGGCCGACAGGAGGCGAAGGGCUGGCCGGCGCCGCCCGGCCGAGCGCAGAUUUCACAAGAUGGGCUGGAUGGAGCUGCAAAGUGGACAAGAGAUCUGAACAGCUGCUCCCCAAUUACACUUUGCAUUGAGCAAAGAAAGAGGUAGAGUCAGCUGAACAUAAAUGUCACCACUGCAGAGAGAUCAUACACAAAUCUAUUCCCUGCUGGAAUCUCAAGCCUCGGUGAAUUCAUCAGUGAAUUUCACAUUCAUUGAAAUCCCAAAACAAGUUCCAUAGAAAAUCCCUUAAAGACAUCAGCAGCUCUGUCUUCAGAAUAAUGUACAAUAAGGAAGGCAUGAAGCUUCACACUGAGCGACAUGGAGAAAGCAGGAGAAUGAAUAGCUGUUACUGGAAUGAGCACCCUCCAUCCUGUCCACUGAGUUCAACAACUUCUCCAGAAAAGAGGUCUCAGAAGCUUAGAGAUCACAGAUGCAUAUUGGCAACUAUUGAAAACUGAGAGUUACACAUAGAAGUAAGGUAGAAGAAUCUUAAUUCAUUUUUACUGUAUCUUUUACUGUGUUUUUAUCCCCAAAGCACACAAUGUUUCUACUUUCAUAUUGCAGAUGAUCAAAAUGGCUAAUGAAUCUAGUGCAAGUUUUAUCUGAAGCCAUGCAUAAAUGUACUUUCUGUAGAGAAUAAAAUGUCUGCCAUUUAUCAUCUAACCUUUCCAUGAAUCAAAGCUUGCUUUAUUUUAUAUAAUUCUUCUUCUAAACAAUGUUUAAUCAGUCAAGUUUUCAAAAAUAUAUCUGUUAGAAAGGCUUACUAAUGCUUUUUAGGAGCAUAAAAAGGAUACAGAAAGAAGAAAAAAUGAUGAACAACUAUAGUGCACUUAUAAAAGCUCCCAGACUUUUCAGUUUGUUCCCCCAUUUUGUUUACUUUGCCAGGAGAAUAAACAAGUGAUUUGUUUGUCAUUUUUCCCUCCCUGAGACAGAAAAUUAUCAAUACUUACUACAGUUGAGCAAAUAAUUUAAAAUGAAUGAUUUAUAAAAUUAAUGAAUUCUUUUCUCCUGUUUAUGUAAUAACUGACAGAUCACAAAUUUCUUUUAAAUUUAUUCCUUAGUUAAGUUUAUUUGAUACAUCUUAAUGAUUCUACUACUCUGCAGAUUUAAGGUUAAAUUUAAUCUGCAUAUUAAUGAAUGUGAUUGAUUGUUUUCUUAUGGCUGGUCAAAUAAAUGAAGUUAUGUCAUUUUCA
Dromaius novaehollandiae (emu) is the source of this 1291-nucleotide long non-coding RNA. RefSeq lists it as uncharacterized. The transcript has 4 exons. Lineage: Eukaryota; Metazoa; Chordata; Aves; Casuariiformes; Dromaiidae. The record is from RefSeq and is a predicted model, not a curated record.